GACAGAGGUGGCAAGCGUUGUUCGGAUUCAUUGGGUGUAAAGGGCAGGUAGGUGGUCGGAUAAGUCUGAUGUGAAAUCCCAUGGCUCAACCGUGGAACUGCAUUGGAAACUGUCUGACUUGAGUAUCGGAGAGGUGAAGGGAAUUCUCGGUGUAAGGGUGAAAUCUGUAGAUAUCGAGAGGAACACCAGUGGCGAAGGCGCUUCACUGGCCGAUUACUGACACUGAGCUGCGAAAGCAAGGGGAGCAAACAGG
RNAcentral lists this ribosomal RNA (253 nucleotides) under uncultured bacterium. RNAcentral's name for it is "partial 16S ribosomal RNA". It matches the Rfam family "Bacterial small subunit ribosomal RNA", at positions 524 to 776 of the family's 1533-position model. The record is from RNAcentral.